UACAGAGGGUGCGAGCGUUGUCCGGAAUCACUGGGCGUAAAGGGCGCGUAGGUGGCGGCAUAAGGCCGUGGUGAAAGUCUGGGGCUCAACCCCAGAUCGGCCGCGGCGACUGUGUCGCUUGGGCACCGUAGAGGCAGAUGGAAUUCCGGGUGUAGCGGUGGAAUGCGUAGAGAUCCGGAAGAACACCAGUGGCGAAGGCGGGUCUCUGGACAGUUCCUGACGCUGAGGCACGAAAGCCAGGGGAGCAAACGGG
This 253-nucleotide ribosomal RNA is filed under the name uncultured prokaryote. Its description in RNAcentral is "partial 16S ribosomal RNA". It matches the Rfam family "Bacterial small subunit ribosomal RNA", at positions 524 to 776 of the family's 1533-position model. The record is from RNAcentral.